RNAcentral lists this long non-coding RNA (890 nucleotides) under Chinchilla lanigera (long-tailed chinchilla). Its description in RNAcentral is "lncRNA (ENSCLAG00000025818.1)". The record is from RNAcentral. Lineage: Eukaryota; Metazoa; Chordata; Mammalia; Rodentia; Chinchillidae.
GCCUCCGCGGCGCUGCCUCCGGGAACUCUCCCGCGAGAGGGCCGCGCGCGCCCGGGCUCCAGGAAGUCGGGAUUCCGUCCGAGCGGGAUGGAGGGGGCUGAGACCUGCGGCGGCUGGUGCGAAGCCGAGGCCAGUGCCGUCCCGAAGCGUCCGCCUCCCAUUUGUCAGAAUCUCGCUUGAGGCUCGGCCUGUCGGGGAGCCCGGGAUGUCCCCUCCCGAGGAAGAAGAGCCACGGCGCCAGACACCUCAGUGCCCGGGUGAACGCCGGCGCCCAGCGAAGCGCCUGUUCUCAUAAAACCAAAGGCUUUUUAAAACAGCACUUCUCCUGAAGUCCAGAAUAUUUUCCCUGGUUAGCUGAUAAACUACAAGCCUGAUCCUGACAUGGUUUUUGGAGAUGCUAUCACCUGAAUGGAGGAAUGUGGGUCCUAGGAUUUGUGCUCUUCAUGUCCUGGCUGCCUUGCUAAGCCUAUUUCUUUUCUUCUCGGCCUGCCCGGGCCCCUGGAAAUGGAAGAUUUUGAGACUAAGUCAUUUAGAAAAAGAAAGCUUGCUUUCAGAAGCUCAGCCAAGACAUUCAUGGAUCAGCAGGAAUGGAUCAUCCCAAGGCACAGUAGGAGGUUACAGGAAAGUUAAAUCCACAACAUUGCCAAGGCUGAAGAGCUUUCGAGUCUACGCCUGGUGGAGAAACAGCAAAUAUAUCAGACGAUUCUCGCACCCACAGAGGCCCUGACAAAGCUCCAAAGAGCAGCAUCGCGAAAGUCUGAAUAAAGGCUUGCUUGGGGACUUAGUAAUUAUAGGAAAGACACGUGGUUUCCUUUAUUUUGGUCUCUUCUCUGGUUUAUUUUGCAGGAAUGAUGUGUUCUUCCUUUCUCUCUUUUUUUCAUGAUACCCCC